This 492-nucleotide ribosomal RNA is filed under the name uncultured bacterium. Its description in RNAcentral is "partial 16S ribosomal RNA". It matches the Rfam family "Bacterial small subunit ribosomal RNA", at positions 29 to 507 of the family's 1533-position model. The record is from RNAcentral.
AGUGAACGCUGGCGGUAGGCCUAACACAUGCAAGUCGAACGGCAGCACAGUAAGAGCUUGCUCUUACGGGUGGCGAGUGGCGGACGGGUGAGGAAUACAUCGGAAUCUACUUUUUCGUGGGGGAUAACGUAGGGAAACUUACGCUAAUACCGCAUACGACCUACGGGUGAAAGCAGGGGAUCUUCGGACCUUGCGCGAUUGAAUGAGCCGAUGUCGGAUUAGCUAGUUGGCGGGGUAAAGGCCCACCAAGGCGACGAUCCGUAGCUGGUCUGAGAGGAUGAUCAGCCACACUGGAACUGAGACACGGUCCAGACUCCUACGGGAGGCAGCAGUGGGGAAUAUUGGGCAAUGGGCGCAAGCCUGAUCCAGCCAUACUGCGUGGGUGAAGAAGGCCUUCGGGUUGUAAAGCCCUUUUGUUGGGAAAGAAAAGCAGCAGGUUAAUACCCCGCUGUUCUGACGGUACCCAAAGAAUAAGCACCGGCUAACUUCGUG